RNAcentral lists this long non-coding RNA (227 nucleotides) under Phoenix dactylifera (date palm). RNAcentral's name for it is "long non-coding RNA (PDAC_LNC017102)". Lineage: Eukaryota; Viridiplantae; Streptophyta; Magnoliopsida; Arecales; Arecaceae. The record is from RNAcentral.
GACACUCUAUAAGCUUGUAUUUUUUGAUUUUAUUAGGUAUAUUUGUACAUGCACUGUAUAAUGAACCGUCAAAGUGAAAAAAACAAAAAAGAAGGCACGUUUGGGUCAAUUGGUUUGGGACGGGGCAUUCAGGUCAGGCUCCGGCUAGAACGUGGAAGGGUUGGGAUCACUUGGGAUUCUGCUCGUGGGCCUGACCGAUUUGGGCCCAAUCAAUGCUAGAACUGGUU